Molecule: ribosomal RNA, 211 nt
Filed under: Lacticaseibacillus paracasei
Lineage: Bacteria; Bacillati; Bacillota; Bacilli; Lactobacillales; Lactobacillaceae
Description: partial 16S ribosomal RNA
Rfam family: Bacterial small subunit ribosomal RNA
Source: RNAcentral
UCGACCACCACGUGGGCUCGGAGAUGUGUAUAAGAGACAGGCAUAAGAGAGACUAACGCAUGUUAGUAAUUUAAAAGGGGCAAUUGCUCCACUAUGAGAUGGACCUGCGUUGUAUUAGCUAGUUGGUGAGGUAAAGGCUCACCAAGGCGACGAUACAUAGCCGACCUGAGAGGGUGAUCAGCCACACUGGGACUGCGCAACGGCCCAGACU